UACAGAGGUCUCAAGCGUUGUUCGGAUUCAUUGGGCGUAAAGGGUGCGUAGGCGGCGCGGUAAGUCGGGUGUGAAAUCUCGGAGCUUAACUUCGAAACUGCAUUCGAUACUGCCGUGCUUGAGGACUGGAGAGGAGACUGGAAUUUACGGUGUAGCGGUGAAAUGCGUAGAUAUCGAGAGGAACACCUGCGGCGAAGGCGGGUUGCUGGGCUGAUACUGACGCUGAUGCGCGAAAGCCAGGGGAGCGAACGGG
Molecule: ribosomal RNA, 253 nt
Filed under: uncultured bacterium
Lineage: Bacteria
Description: partial 16S ribosomal RNA
Rfam family: Bacterial small subunit ribosomal RNA
Source: RNAcentral